GGACGCGGGGACCUCAGGAUCCCCGGCGCUGAAGGCAGCUCGGGCCCUCCGGGACUCUGGGGACGCCCGGCUCCGUCACCGGAGCGCAACAGGGGAUCCACGCGCCCCGUCCCAGCUCUGCCGGGCUUCUUCGCCACCUUCCGGAAAAAGUGUCAAGUACAAGUUCAAGUUCAGGGCCAGGCCCCGGGGGCGCCGAGCCUGCCGGGCCGCCUUUGUUCUCCGGUACAAUCGCUCCCUCAUCCCCUCCCGGGCGGGGCCGCAGACACCCCCGCCCCGCCCCCCGCGCCCCGCAGGAGCCGCCUCCUCCCGCCCGCGCGACGCCUGUCCCCAGGUCCCGACGACCUCGCUCAGGGCCACCGAAGGGUCUGGGGGCUUAGGGCGGGGGGAGGCGCGAGUCAAGCCCGUGGGAGCCUCCCCAGCCCCGCAGUCUCAGCCGCAAACUGCGCUCGGUCGGACGGACGCCCGCGCUGAGGAGUGAAGAGCAGCCCACUGAACCCCGCUAAACCUCCUUCUCUUACCCUCUCCCCCCGUUUGGUGUUGCUGAGGAUUGAAUCCAGGGCCUCUCUGCACAAGUGCGUCACUGCUGAGCUGUACAUCCCAGCCAAGAAGCAGUUUUGCAGGGAUGGAGGAAGCUGAGAGGAAGCUCUUCUUUGGGGAAUGGAAACCGGGAGGUCAUUUUGAAGAGAAAUCAGCAGCACCUCCUGACCCUGCUGACUGCACCUCCAGGACCUGAGUUCUCUUUGGUCCACAGAUCCACAGUGAAGUCCCCAGCUCCUGGAAAAGGGAUCCUGCUGAGUGCUGGGAAGUUGCCAGUGUGUGUGAAUGGCUGGGUUAGCGCAGGUUUUCCCAGCCACCUCACAGAAAGCACCUUUGGGGGGAGCCUUCGGUUCUGGGUCCGGACUGCCACCUCUCAGAGAAGCCACGUAGUUCUUGGAGCACUGUCGGCAGGCAGAGCCACACCAAAGCAAUGCAGGCGGCCAGGACACACAGCGACAUCAUGAACUUCCCCUCUUCCCCAAAACCACCACAGACCUGGCUUCCUUUUCAGUUCGCCAAAGUCUGGAAAAUUAACCCGAGAGUCUAGGCAAAGGAAACUAUUUUCAGCGGCCUUGCUCUUGGGCAGCCCCUCUUCCCUUCCGGUGUCCCGGAAGUUCCCAGGUGUCAGGCGUAGGCACUCACAGUGACUUUUUGAGGGUGCGCAGCAUUGACCUCUACUUUGGAGGGUGCCAUACGGGUAUCAAAGGAAGCGUGUCCAGAGAAGGAGUCCGGGGCUCCGGCGCAGCCGCUGACCUCUGCGGCUUGGCGGGCUCCACAGAACCGAGACUGCGGGACCGGCCCUGCGCAGAGGCGGGCGGGCGCUGUCCACCCGGAGGUGCUGAAAUACAAGUCGCCUGGCGGAGCCGCCAGCAGGAGCUGCCGGUCCCCACCACCUCGGCCAGCGAGACGGGCUUCUCCGUGGAAGGAAAGCAGUUCCAGACGUCGUCAUCGCCCCCAAACCUCAAUGACUGCCUAACUGGUCUCACUGCUUUUUGUUCCUCAGCCUUUGCUCCACCCAGUACUACUUACUCGAAGUGGGUUUGUCUUUCUUCUUUCUCCUCUUUCCUCUCUUCUCUCUUCUUUCUCCUCCCUCCCUCCCUCCAGCCCCGCUUCCUCCCGCCCUUCCUCCUCCUUUCCUCCCUCCCUUCUUCUUUCUUCUCUUCUAUGCUGAGGAUCCAAUCAGGGCCUCUCACAUGCCAGGCCAGUACUCUACCACUGAGCUACACUCAGCCCCAGAUUGACCUUUUCAAGAGACAAUUCUGAUCGUGCUUAAAGUCCUUCUAUAGUUUCAGAAUAAAACUCAAAGUUCUUGCCACA
This is a long non-coding RNA of Heterocephalus glaber (naked mole-rat), 1854 nucleotides long. RefSeq lists it as uncharacterized. The record is from RefSeq and is a predicted model, not a curated record. Lineage: Eukaryota; Metazoa; Chordata; Mammalia; Rodentia; Bathyergidae.